GAAUGCUGACAUAAGUAACGAUAAAGCGGGUGAAAAGCCCGCUCGCCGGAAGACCAAGGGUUCCUGUCCAACGUUAAUCGGGGCAGGGUGAGUCGACCCCUAAGGCGAGGCCGAAAGGCGUAGUCGAUGGGAAACAGGUUAAUAUUCCUGUACUUGGUGUUACUGCGAAGGGGGGACGGAGAAGGCUAUGUUGGCCGGGCGACGGUUGUCCCGGUUUAAGCGUGUAGGCUGGUUUUCCAGGCAAAUCCGGAAAAUCAAGGCUGAGGCGUGAUGACGAGGCACUACGGUGCUGAAGCGACAAAUGCCCUGCUUCCAGGAAAAGCCUCUAAGCAUCAGGUAACAUUAAAUCGUACCCCAAACCGACACAGGUGGUCAGGUAGAGAAUACCAAGGCGCUUGAGAGAACUCGGGUGAAGGAACUAGGCAAAAUGGUGCCGUAACUUCGGGAGAAGGCACGCUGAUAUGUAGGUGAAGCGACUUGCUCGUGGAGCUGAAAUCAGUCGAAGAUACCAGCUGGCUGCAACUGUUUAUUAAAAACACAGCACUGUGCAAACACGAAAGUGGACGUAUACGGUGUGACGCCUGCCCGGUGCCGGAAG
This 598-nucleotide ribosomal RNA is filed under the name Escherichia coli. RNAcentral's name for it is "partial 23S ribosomal RNA". It matches the Rfam family "Bacterial large subunit ribosomal RNA", at positions 1292 to 1875 of the family's 2925-position model. The record is from RNAcentral. Lineage: Bacteria; Pseudomonadati; Pseudomonadota; Gammaproteobacteria; Enterobacterales; Enterobacteriaceae.